UGGCUUGUCCAUUAUUAUCUAUUUACUGUGAACUGUAUUAUUAUUUGACAUUUGAGGGAUGUUCCAAUGUUAUAAGGAUAGACAUUGGAAAUGUUAACCGAGUCAUAAUCAGGUUUAGGCCUGGUAUCCUAUUAUUAUUUACCAAAUGAAUUCAGAAUUAAUAUUGUAACAUAGACCUAAAAAAUCUAUAAAACAACUUUUAACAACGGAUCUCUUGGUUCUCGCAUCGAUGAAGAACGUAGCAAAGUGCGAUAACUAGUGUGAAUUGCAUAUUCAGUGAAUCAUCGAGUCUUUGAACGCAACUUGCGCUCAUUGGUAUUCCAAUGAGCACGCCUGUUUCAGUAUCAAAACAAACCCUCUAUCCAACUUUUGUUGUAUAGGAUUAUUGGGGGCCUCUCGAUCUGUAUAGAUCUUGAAAUCCCUGAAAUUUACUAAGGCCUGAACUUGUUUAAAUGCCUGAACUUUUUUUUAAUAUAAAGGAAAGCUCUUGUAAUUGACUUUGAUGGGGCCUCCCAAAUAAAUCUUUUUUAAAUUUGAUCUGAAAUCAGGCGGGAUUACCCGCUGAACUUAA
This 571-nucleotide ribosomal RNA is filed under the name fungal sp. 698 YZ-2011. Its description in RNAcentral is "eukaryotic LSU rRNA". The stretch from base 195 to 347 matches the Rfam family "5.8S ribosomal RNA". Lineage: Eukaryota; Fungi. The record is from RNAcentral.